Molecule: transfer RNA, 56 nt
Filed under: Dipetalonema gracile
Lineage: Eukaryota; Metazoa; Nematoda; Chromadorea; Rhabditida; Onchocercidae
Description: tRNA-Leu
Source: RNAcentral
GUAUCUUUAGUAUAAUAAGUAUGAUAGAUUUAGGUUUUGUAGGUUUUUUUGGUACA